This 520-nucleotide ribosomal RNA is filed under the name uncultured Diversispora. Its description in RNAcentral is "SSU rRNA". It matches the Rfam family "Eukaryotic small subunit ribosomal RNA", at positions 569 to 1088 of the family's 1831-position model. The record is from RNAcentral. Lineage: Eukaryota; Fungi; Glomeromycota; Glomeromycetes; Diversisporales; Diversisporaceae.
CGCAGCCGCGGUAAUUCCAGCUCCAAUAGCGUAUAUUAAAGUUGUUGCAGUUAAAAAGCUCGUAGUUGAACUUCGGGGUUUACCCAUUGGUCAGGCUUAAUUGUCUGUACUGGUGAGAUAAAUCUCUACCUUCUGAGGAACUUUCAUGCCAUUUAUUUGGUGUAAUUGGAAAUCAGGACUGUUACUUUGAAAAAAUUAGAGUGUUUAAAGCAGGCUAACGUCUGAAUACAUUAGCAUGGAAUAAUGAAAUAGGACGGACUGAUUCUAUUUCGUUGGUUUCUAGGAUCACCGUAAUGAUUAAUAGGGAUAGUUGGGGGCAUUAGUAUUCAAUUGUCAGAGGUGAAAUUCUUGGAUUUAUUGAAGACUAACUACUGCGAAAGCAUUUGCCAAGGAUGUUUUCAUUAAUCAAAGAACGAAAGUUAGGGGAUCGAGACGAUCAGAUACCGUCGUAGUCUUAACCAUAAACUAUGCCGACUAGGGAUCGGACGAAGUUAAUUUUAUAAUGACGCGUUCGGCACCU